Molecule: ribosomal RNA, 440 nt
Filed under: uncultured bacterium
Lineage: Bacteria
Description: bacterial SSU rRNA
Rfam family: Bacterial small subunit ribosomal RNA
Source: RNAcentral
CCUACGGGAGGCAGCAGUAGGGAAUCUUGGACAAUGGGCGAAAGCCUGAUCCAGCGACGCCGCGUGGGGGACGAAGGCCCUCGGGUUGUAAACCCCUGUUGUUGGGAAAGAAGCCGGCUUCGUGCCGGUGACGGUACCCAACGAGGAAGCCCCGGCUAACUACGUGCCAGCAGCCGCGGUAAGACGUAGGGGGCGAGCGUUAUCCGGAUUCACUGGGCGUAAAGGGCGCGCAGGCGGCUAUGUAAGUCCGGCGUGAAAUCCCACGGCUCAACUGUGGAAUUGCGUCGGAUACUGCAUUGGCUUGAGGACGGUAGAGGCUUCUGGAACUAGCGGUGUAGCGGUGAAAUGCGCAGAUAUCGCUAGGAACGCCGGUGGCGAAGGCGGGAGGCUGGGCCGAUCCUGACGCUGAGGCGCGAAAGCUAGGGGAGCGAACCGGAUUA